This 59-nucleotide small nucleolar RNA is filed under the name Urocitellus parryii (Arctic ground squirrel). RNAcentral describes it as "Spermophilus parryii (Arctic ground squirrel) Small nucleolar RNA SNORD43". It matches the Rfam family "Small nucleolar RNA SNORD43". Rfam says of the family: U43 is a C/D box small nucleolar RNA that is encoded in intron 1 of the ribosomal protein L3 gene in human and cow. Lineage: Eukaryota; Metazoa; Chordata; Mammalia; Rodentia; Sciuridae. RNAcentral also lists the same sequence under 1 other name. The record is from Rfam by way of RNAcentral.
GAUAGAUGAUGAACUUAUUUAUGGGCAGACAAAGAUUGUGUGCUGUCAUGUUCUGAUUU